UGUACGUACAAGCAGUGGGAGCACGCUUAGGCGUGUGACUGCGUACCUUUUGUAUAAUGGGUCAGCGACUUAUAUUCUGUAGCAAGGUUAACCGAAUAGGGGAGCCGAAGGGAAACCGAGUCUUAACUGGGCGUUAAGUUGCAGGGUAUAGACCCGAAACCCGGUGAUCUAGCCAUGGGCAGGUUGAAGGUUGGGUAACACUAACUGGAGGACCGAACCGACUAAUGUUGAAAAAUUAGCGGAUGACUUGUGGCUGGGGGUGAAAGGCCAAUCAAACCGGGAGAUAGCUGGUUCUCCCCGAAAGCUAUUUAGGUAGCGCCUCGUGAAUUCAUCUCCGGGGGUAGAGCACUGUUUCGGCAAGGGGGUCAUCCCGACUUACCAACCCGAUGCAAACUGCGAAUACCGGAGAAUGUUAUCACGGGAGACACACGGCGGGUGCUAACGUCCGUCGUGAAGAGGGAAACAACCCAGACCGCCAGCUAAGGUCCCAAAGUCAUGGUUAAGUGGGAAACGAUGUGGGAAGGCCCAGACAGCCAGGAUGUUGGCUUAGAAGCAGCCAUCAUUUAAAGAAAGCGUAAUAGCUCACUGGUCGAGUCGGCCUGCGCGGAAGAUGUAACGGGGCUAAACCAUGCACCGAAGCUGCGGCAGCGACGCUGAUGCGUUGUUGGGUAGGGGAGCGUUCUGUAAGCCUGCGAAGGUGUGCUGUGAGGCAUGCUGGAGGUAUCAGAAGUGCGAAUGCUGACAUAAGUAACGAUAAAGCGGGUGAAAAGCCCGCUCGCCGGAAGACCAAGGGUUCCUGUCCAACGUUAAUCGGGGCAGGGUGAGUCGACCCCUAAGGCGAGGCCGAAAGGCGUAGUCGAUGGGAAACAGGUUAAUAUUCCUGUACUUGGUGUUACUGCGAAGGGGGGACGGAGAAGGCUAUGUUGGCCGGGCGACGGUUGUCCCGGUUUAAGCGUGUAGGCUGGUUUUCCAGGCAAAUCCGGAAAAUCAAGGCUGAGGCGUGAUGACGAGGCACUACGGUGCUGAAGCAACAAAUGCCCUGCUUCCAGGAAAAGCCUCUAAGCAUCAGGUAACAUCAAAUCGUACCCCAAACCGACACAGGUGGUCAGGUAGAGAAUACCAAGGCGCUUGAGAGAACUCGGGUGAAGGAACUAGGCAAAAUGGUGCCGUAACUUCGGGAGAAGGCACGCUGAUAUGUAGGUGAAGCGACUUGCUCGUGGAGCUGAAAUCAGUCGAAGAUACCAGCUGGCUGCAACUGUUUAUUAAAAACACAGCACUGUGCAAACACGAAAGUGGACGUAUACGGUGUGACGCCUGCCCGGUGCCGGAAGGUUAAUUGAUGGGGUUAGCGCAAGCGAAGCUCUUGAUCGAAGCCCCGGUAAACGGCGGCCGUAACUAUAACGGUCCUAAGGUAGCGAAAUUCCUUGUCGGGUAAGUUCCGACCUGCACGAAUGGCGUAAUGAUGGCCAGGCUGUCUCCACCCGAGACUCAGUGAAAUUGAACUCGCUGUGAAGAUGCAGUGUACCCGCGGCAAGACGGAAAGACCCCGUGAACCUUUACUAUAGCUUGACACUGAACAUUGAGCCUUGAUGUGUAGGAUAGGUGGGAGGCUUUGAAGUGUGGACGCCAGUCUGCAUGGAGCCGACCUUGAAAUACCACCCUUUAAUGUUUGAUGUUCUAACGUGGACCCGUAAUCCGGGUUGCGGACAGUGUCUGGUGGGUAGUUUGACUGGGGCGGUCUCCUCCUAAAGAGUAACGGAGGAGCACGAAGGUUGGCUAAUCCUGGUCGGACAUCAGGAGGUUAGUGCAAUGGCAUAAGCCAGCUUGACUGCGAGCGUGACGGCGCGAGCAGGUGCGAAAGCAGGUCAUAGUGAUCCGGUGGUUCUGAAUGGAAGGGCCAUCGCUCAACGGAUAAAAGGUACUCCGGGGAUAACAGGCUGAUACCGCCCAAGAGUUCAUAUCGACGGCGGUGUUUGGCACCUCGAUGUCGGCUCAUCACAUCCUGGGGCUGAAGUAGGUCCCAAGGGUAUGGCUGUUCGCCAUUUAAAGUGGUACGCGAGCUGGGUUUAGAACGUCGUGAGACAGUUCGGUCCCUAUCUGCCGUGGGCGCUGGAGAACUGAGGGGGGCUGCUCCUAGUACGAGAGGACCGGAGUGGACGCAUCACUGGUGUUCGGGUUGUCAUGCCAAUGGCACUGCCCGGUAGCUAAAUGCGGAAGAGAUAAGUGCUGAAAGCAUCUAAGCACGAAACUUGCCCCGAGAUGAGUUCUCCCUGACUCCUUGAGAGUCCUGAAGGAACGUUGAAGACGACGACGUUGAUAGGCCGGGUGUGUAAGCGCAGCGAUGCGUUGAGCUAACCGGUACUAAUGAACCGUGAGGCUUAACCUU
RNAcentral lists this ribosomal RNA (2386 nucleotides) under Escherichia coli. Its description in RNAcentral is "bacterial LSU rRNA". It matches the Rfam family "Bacterial large subunit ribosomal RNA", at positions 559 to 2925 of the family's 2925-position model. The record is from RNAcentral. Lineage: Bacteria; Pseudomonadati; Pseudomonadota; Gammaproteobacteria; Enterobacterales; Enterobacteriaceae.